UACGGAGGGAGCUAGCGUUGUUCGGAUCUACUGGGCGUAAAGCGCACGUAGGCGGCGCCGUAAGUCAGGGGUGAAAUCCCGGAGCUCAACUCCGGAACUGCCCUUGAAACUGCAGUGCUAGAAUUCUGGAGAGGCGAGUGGAAUUCCGAGUGUAGAGGUGAAAUUCGUAGAUAUUCGGAAGAACACCAGUGGCGAAGGCGGCUCACUGGACUGGUAUUGACACUGAGGUGCGAAAGCGUGGGGAGCAAACAGG
RNAcentral lists this ribosomal RNA (253 nucleotides) under uncultured bacterium. RNAcentral describes it as "partial 16S ribosomal RNA". It matches the Rfam family "Bacterial small subunit ribosomal RNA", at positions 524 to 776 of the family's 1533-position model. The record is from RNAcentral.